AUUGAACGCUGGCGGCAUGCCUUACACAUGCAAGUCGAACGGUAACAGGUCUUCGGAUGCUGACGAGUGGCGAACGGGUGCGUAAUACAUCGGAACGUGCCCGAUCGUGGGGGAUAACGAGGCGAAAGCUUUGCUAAUACCUCAUACGAUCUACGGAUGAAAGCGGGGGAUCUUCGGACCUCGCGCGGACGGCUCGGCCGAGGGCGGCUUAGGUAGUUGGUGGGAUAAAAGCUUACCAAGCCGACGAUCUGUAGCUGGGCUGAGAGGAUGAUCAGCCACACGGGGACUGAGACACGGCCCAGACUCCUACGGGAGGCAGCAGUGGGGAAUUUUGGACAAUGGGCGAAAGCCUGAUCCAGCCAUGCCGAGUGCAGGAUGAAGGCCUUCGGGUUGUAAACAGCUUUUGUACGGAACGAAAAGCCUCUUGCUAAGAAAGAGGGGUAAUGACGGUACCGUAAGAAUAAGCACCGGCUAACUACGUG
RNAcentral lists this ribosomal RNA (482 nucleotides) under uncultured bacterium. Its description in RNAcentral is "partial 16S ribosomal RNA". It matches the Rfam family "Bacterial small subunit ribosomal RNA", at positions 30 to 507 of the family's 1533-position model. The record is from RNAcentral.